This 389-nucleotide ribosomal RNA is filed under the name uncultured bacterium. RNAcentral's name for it is "partial 16S ribosomal RNA". It matches the Rfam family "Bacterial small subunit ribosomal RNA", at positions 338 to 724 of the family's 1533-position model. The record is from RNAcentral.
CCUACGGGAGGCAGCAGUGAGGAAUAUUGGUCAAUGGGCGUAAGCCUGAACCAGCCACGCCGCGUGAGGGAUGAAGGUUCUCUGGAUCGUAAACCUCUUUUAUAAGGGAAUAAAGUGUGGGACGUGUCCUAUUUUGUAUGUACCUUAUGAAUAACGAUCGGCUAACUCCGUGCCAGCAGCCGCGGUAAUACGGAGGAUCCGAGCGUUAACCGGAUUUAUUGGGUUUAAGGGGUGCGUAGGCGGCCUUUUAAGUCAGCGGUGAAAGCCUGCGGCUCAACCAUAGAAUUGCCGUUGAAACUGGGGGUCUUGAGGAUGCAGGAGGAAGGCGGAAUGCGAGGUGUAGCGGUGAAAUGCUUAGAUAUAACGCAGAACCCCGAUGGCGAAGGCGG